UACGAAGGGUUCGGAAUUAUUGGGCGUAAAGCGCACGUAGGCGGCUCUAUAAGUCGGAUGUGAAAUCCCUCGGCUCAACCAAGGAAGUGCAUUCGAAACUGUAGAGCUUGAGUAGUUAAGAGGAUCGCGGAAUUCCCGGUGUAGAGGUGAAAUUCGUAGAUAUCGGGAGGAACACCAGUGGCGAAGGCGGCGAUCUGGGAACAUACUGACGCUGAGGUGCGAAAGCGUGGGGAGCAAACAGG
Molecule: ribosomal RNA, 242 nt
Filed under: uncultured bacterium
Lineage: Bacteria
Description: partial 16S ribosomal RNA
Rfam family: Bacterial small subunit ribosomal RNA
Source: RNAcentral